UACGUAGGCAGCGAGCGUUGUUCGGAGUUACUGGGCGUAAAGGGUGUGUAGGCGGUUUCUUAAGUUUGGUGUGAAAUCUCCCGGCUUAACUGGGAGGGUGAGCCGAAUACUGAGAGGCUCGAGUGCGGGAGAGGAGAGUGGAAUUCCUGGUGUAGCGGUGAAAUGCGUAGAUAUCAGGAGGAACACCGGUGGUGUAGACGGCUCUCUGGACCGUAACUGACGCUGAGACACGAAAGCGUGGGUAGCAAACAGG
RNAcentral lists this ribosomal RNA (253 nucleotides) under uncultured bacterium. Its description in RNAcentral is "partial 16S ribosomal RNA". It matches the Rfam family "Bacterial small subunit ribosomal RNA", at positions 524 to 776 of the family's 1533-position model. The record is from RNAcentral.